CCAUGGCUAGACAUUGCUAUGAACCAAUACAAGUCUCUCUGGACUAAAUACGUCGACAACGAAAUGGAGUUUGUGCAGAUGUGCAAUUUUGGUCUUUAAAGAAAGAUAUCGAUGAAGAGGUAACCUCAAAUCGAUAUAUGUUCAGUCAUUCAGGGCAUUCUUUAGCUUAUAUACGUUUAUCUUUUAUAUAUUAUAUAGGGUUACAAAAGUGUUUUGCUUUGUUCUUUCUGUCAUAGUUUUGUUCUUUAUUUAUAUUUUGUGUAACUCUUUCACAUCAAAAGCUUUAUCCAAAACUACAAUGUGUUAAGGUUUGUUUCAUGCAAAGUUUUGACUUAUGAUUGAAACAUUAAAGAGAAAUGGAUUAGGAAGAUAAUGAAUUUUUAUCAUAUGUUGAUUUAGUUUCAUUUUAUUACUAAAAUCAUGAUGAGCUAACUACUUUACAAAACACAAUAAGAUUUUAUCAUAUGUUUGUAUAUCUACAAAAAUAGUUAGAAAUUCAACAAAGUUGUUAUGACCGUUUCUCACCGCAAGACAGAAACUCAAAGAUCCUGUCUCGAGUCAAUGUACGUCCAAACUGCACAAACCCAUCGCACCUUCCGGUCUCUCUGUCUAGGUCAACGAGCGUUGACUUCAAUUUCUCCAGUUCCUCCUCCAUCCCUCCCAUAGCAAAUGCCACAGACGACCGUUUAUUCACGGCGAUGUCCACCGUUAGUCUAAUGGAUCUCUCCACCGCCUCCAACAUACUCACAAGUCUGCUCAUCUUCUCAACCUCCUUGAGAGCCACCAUCGUUUCCCUCUCCAUCGACGUCACUGCUGUCUUUUCCCGUUUCAGAGUUUCCGACGACUCUCUCCACCUCGAAGCAGCAAAGUUAGUCACUGCUUCAACCGGUACAGGUACAAAGAUACCCGCCACGAUUUUUCCCACGGCCACUAGAGCGAUCAUCGCCGCCGCAACCUUGAUCCUUGGAUGCUGUCUUUAUGGAGUACAUUAUAUCAGAUCAAUCCAAAAUACUUUCCUAAAGGUCCAGAUGUGAUGAUUCCUCAAGAUGAAUUAACUGAUCAGCCCAAAUAUAGGAUCUUAUAUCAUAAGCAGGAGACACUGGAGCCUGAAUUGAUGGCAGAGUCAGGUACACCAAGUUUUUAUUCCUAUCAUGUUUUUAAGGAGGGGAUUCAUGGUGUGGAUACUUUGCUCCAUCAUGUUAGCUUAGGACUAUGUUAUGCUACUUAACAGUGAACUUUCUGUCUAGUUAAUAAUGGUAAUUGCUAGAAAAAUGUCAAUGUAGAGAAAUGACUUUUAAUGUUCUGGUUCAGUUGGCUCGUGAACUCUUGCAUAAUAUGCCUCUUAUUGUUUUAGCAGACAUCAUAGAAAGAGCCCGUGGAAUGUCACCCGGAAAAUUAUCCAAGGACAAAACUAAACCAGACUGCUUUCUCAAGAUGGUACUAUGCACAUCCAUUAUAUUUUUUUUUUGAUUUUAUGUUAUAUAUGCUAUGCAACCUUGCUGGUUAUGCUAUUUUUUUAUGCUGUGUUACCUUGAAUACGGAUUUGAUGGUCCUUCUUGGUCAAAAUAUGUUUUCUUAAAAUAUCUUAUUUCUGGUAAGCCUGGAUGAUAUGAGUUUUAUUCCCUUGGCUUGCAUUUAAAUAUUUCAAUCAUGCAGAUUAAAAAUGAAGUCUUGACGAAAGCUGGAAGUACAAAGGAUGUCCGCCACUUCGAGUUCCAAUUUGUUUCUUCUGUAAGUAACUUUGCUAUCACUUACUAACUAGUUUCAAUCAAUUUCUCCUCUUUUAUGAAGUGGUUGUUCAAUUAAUUUCUCCUCUUUGUUUUUUUUUUAAUUCAUUUAAGAGUAUCAAAUAUGAAGUGGGCGAUGUUGUUGAGCUUCUUCCAAGCCAAGAUUCUUCAGCAAUAGAUGCGUUUAUAAAACGCUGUCAUUUGGACCCGGAAUCAUUCAUCACAGUAAGUAGCUCCACUCUGUUGACAUGAUGAUCCCAGAUUGUCUAACUGAAGUAAAUUUUGAUAACUAAUUUACUUUCAGGUUUGUCCGAGAGAGACAGUGAAUAAUGGUUCAUGUGGAGAAGUAAUUACACACCAUGUCCCUAUCAAGCUUAAGACUUUUGUUGAAUUAACAAUGGACGUUACAUCUGCUUCACCUCGACGAUACUUCUUCGAGGUAAGAGUCCUAAUGAUCUUGAAUAUCAGAUUUUUAUAAUGUAAUUUUAAGUAUUUGAUGGAAGUCGUUACAAUGUAUCUUCUCGGUGUCAGGUUAUGAGCUUCUAUGCAACAGCUGAACUUGAGAAGGAAAGACUGCAAUACUUUGCCUCAGCCGAGGGACGUGAUGACCUCUACAAUUACAAUCAGAAGGAAAGAAAAAGCGUCCUUGAGGUAACCAAUUGGGGACACCAUGAUUCGUCUUGAACCAAAUAGAUCUUAUUGCUACUGCCUAUGUAGGUGCUAGAGGAUUUCUCUUCCGUGCAAAUGCCUUUUGAGUGGCUAGUACAGUUAGUACCAUCGCUAAAACCACGAGCUUUUUCGAUAUCUUCAUCUCCUUUGGCCCACCCUGGUCAAGUACAUUUGACAGUAAGCGUGGUAUCAUGGAUCACCCCUUCAUACCCUUAUAAGAGAACUCGAAAAGGUCUAUGCUCCUCUUGGCUCGCAAGCCUCACACCUGAGCAAGGUUAGCACUGUGUUUCUAUGUAUUAUUUUAACUGACUCAGGUCUUUGUUUCUACGUAUUUAUCUUACAUUUUGUGUUCCGUUGUGUUUAGAGAUAAACAUACCGAUUUGGUUUCACAAAGGCUCUCUUCCUGCUCCACCACAGUCGCUUCCACUCAUCUUAGUGGGACCUGGAACCGGAUGUGCCCCUUUCCGCGGGUUCAUAGCUGAGAGAGCCGUGCAAGCUCAGACCAGCCCGAUCGCACCAGUCAUGUUCUUCUUUGGUUGCAGGAACAAAGACACUGACUUUUUAUACAAAGACUUCUGGGAGUCUCAUGCAAGAGAAGGAGGCAUGCUCUCUGAAGUAAAAGGCGGAGGGUUUUACACAGCAUUCUCUAGAGACCAACCGAAGAAGGUUUACGUGCAACACAGGAUACUAGAGAUGAGGAAGAAAGUUUGGGAUUUGCUAUGUGAUGGAGCCGCCGUUUACGUGGCGGGCUCGUCCACGAAAAUGCCUUGUGAUGUGAUGUCGGCCUUGGAGGAGAUUGUGAUGGAGGAGACCGGAGGAUCAAAGGAAAUGGCUUCACGGUGGCUCAAGGCUUUGGAGAAAGCUGGGAGAUACAAUGUUGAAGCUUGGUCUUAAACCCAACUUCCUCCAUAUCAUGUAAUGUUUGAUUACUAGCUAUACGAAUCAUUGGAUUAUUUAUUUAUUUAAAUUGAUUUUAUAAUAUUCACAUUGAACGGUUCAAAUGAAGAUGAUUUGUUUGAUUGUAUACAUUUGAACUUUAUUUAUAAUUUAAUUUUAAUUUUUUUUAUAUAACGAGGUUCUUACCUUUUUCAUUUUAACUAGAGUUUGUUGAAUAAAUCAUUCACCUCACUGAAUAAUACAAGAUUUCAGUGUUUAUAUAAAAAUCAUCAAUUAAAUAACAUCAGAUUUUAAACAGAACUGAAAAUCAACGUACAAUGUCAAUUACUCAAUUUUUUUAUUUAUUAAUUUAUUGUAUAAUAACACUUUAGUUAUUUUUCAAAUGUUUUCGAUCGGCAAAUUUAAUAGAAUAUAUUUAUUCUUCAAUUAAUCAUUGAGUGGCAAAAUUAAAAAUGAAAUAAUCAAUUGUUAUAAAAUGGACAGAAACUAUUAUUUUUCUAAAUUUGUUUAUUUUUUUAAAAAAAAUUGUGCAGUCAAAGUGUUAGUUGAUAAUAAUUCUACACAAACAAUACUUUCAAGUAUUAAAGCUGCUGGUUUCAAAUACUUUGGUAAUAAAAUGUUAAUGUCCUAAAGUAUAUAGGUGAGACUGGGGUUUUAAUAAUAUUGAGAGUUUAUAUCUACACUAUAAAUUAGUAAUUGUUUAUUAAACCAAUGAUUAAUGACAUUAACGUGUCUUCUUCACUAAAAUGUCUUGAGAUCUCUAUCCAUCCCAUCACUCUCCAGAGGCUAAUUCACACUCUAUCGGGCAAGCAAGAACCUCAUCCCCAUCUGAACUUUUUUUUUUUUAAACUGACUUAUAAAAGGUAAAGCUAAAUGGCGGUGGCCUUCCAUGGAGGCCGGAACGGCGUCGGAUCGGGACUCCGCAGUUUCUUCUCGUACCGGAUCUUCAUCUCCGCCUUGUUCUCUUUCCUCUUCCUCGCCACCUUCUCCGUUGUCCUCAACUCCUCUCGUCACCAACCUCAUCUCGAUCACGUAAGCUUCCGAUUCGUUUCACAAUCCGAAUCAAAAUUUAGAAAUGAAUUUAGAAUCUGAGCUUCGAUUUUUGGUGUUUAGACAUUGCCGAGGACGUUUCAAUCGGAUCCGUUGAAAGCUAGGUUAGAUCUGAUCCACAAGCAAGCCACCGAUCACCUCACGCUUGUGAACGCUUACGCUGCUUACGCUAGGAAGCUCAAGCUCGACGCGUCGAAGCAGCUGAAGCUCUUCGAAGAUCUGGCGGUUAACUUCUCCGAUCUGCAGGCCAAACCUGGACUGAAGCUCGAAAACGGGAACGCGAUCGAGGAGGAUGCGUUUCGGCAGAUCGAGAAAGAGGUUAAAGAUAAGGUGAAGACCGCGAGGAUGAUGAUCGUUGAGUCCAAAGAGAGUUACGAUACACAGCUCAAGAUCCAGAAGCUCAAGGAUACGAUCUUCGCUGUUCAAGAACAGUUGACGAAAGCUAAGAAAAACGGCGCCGUUGCGAGCUUGAUCUCGGCUAAGUCGGUUCCCAAGAGUCUUAACUGUUUGGCUAUGAGGCUUGUUGGUGAGAGGAUCUCUAACCCUGAGAAGUAUAAGGAUGCUCCGUUUGAUUCGGCUGUGUUGGAGGAUCCGAGUCUUUAUCACUACGCGGUUUUCUCUGAUAAUGUGAUUGCUGUUUCCGUUGUGGUGAGGUCGGUUGUGGUGAACGCUGAGGAGCCGUGGAAGCAUGUGUUUCAUGUGGUGACUGAUAGGAUGAAUCUCGCCGCUAUGAAGGUUUGGUUUAAGAUGCGUCCUUUGGACCGUGGUGCUCGUGUUGAGAUUAAGUCGGUUGAGGAGUUUAAGUUCUUGAACUCUUCGUAUGCGCCGGUCUUGAGGCAGUUAGAGUCUGCUAAGUUGCAGAAGUUUUACUUUGAGAAUCAGGCGGAGAACGCGACUAGAGAUGAACAUAACAUCAAGUUCAAGAACCCGAAGUAUCUCUCGGUGUUGAACCAUUUGAGAUUCUACUUACCGGAGAUGUAUCCGAAGCUGAAUAAGAUCUUGUUCUUGGACGAUGAUGUUGUGGUGCAGAAGGACGUGACUGGGUUGUGGAAGAUUAAUUUAGAUGGGAAGGUGAAUGGAGCUGUUGAGACUUGCUUUGGCUCUUUUCAUCGAUAUGGUCAAUAUCUAAACUUCACUCAUCCUCUGAUUAAAGAGAGCUUUAACCCCAAUGCUUGUGCUUGGGCCUUUGGGAUGAAUAUAUUUGAUCUCAAUGCUUGGAGGCGUGAGAAAUGCACUGAUCAAUACCAUUACUGGCAGAACUUGGUAAGUCCAUAUCUUUUCUUUGUAACUUAUGCAUAUCAAAUAAUCUCUUUAUCUUGUGUUGAUUGUGUGUUAAUCUCUCUUGAGCAGAAUGAAGACAGAAGUCUCUGGAAAUUAGGCACUCUGCCUCCUGGACUGAUGACAUUCUAUUCAAAGACGAAAUCACUGGACAAGUCAUGGCAUGUGCUUGGGUUAGGCUACAACCCAGGAGUGAGCAUGGACGAGAUUAAAAAAGCAGCAGUGAUUCAUUACAAUGGGAACAUGAAACCAUGGCUAGACAUUGCUAUGAACCAAUACAAGUCUCUCUGGACUAAAUACGUCGACAACGAAAUGGAGUUUGUGCAGAUGUGCAAUUUUGGUCUUUAAAGAAAGAUAUCGAUGAAGAGGUAACCUCAAAUCGAUAUGUGUUCAGUCAUUCAGGGCAUUCUUUAGCUGAUAUACGUUUAUCUUUUAUAUUAUAUAGGGUUACAAAAGUGUUUUGCUUUGUUCUUUCUGUCAUAGUUAUGUUCUUUAUUU
This 6119-nucleotide long non-coding RNA is filed under the name Brassica napus (rape). RNAcentral's name for it is "long non-coding RNA (BNAP_LNC002473)". The record is from RNAcentral. Lineage: Eukaryota; Viridiplantae; Streptophyta; Magnoliopsida; Brassicales; Brassicaceae.